GCCAAGGGAAUUACGAGCCCAAGCUUAAAACCCAAAGGACUUGACGGGUGCCCCAUCCACCUAGAGGAGCCUGUUCUAUAAUCGAUUCUCCCCGAUCCACCUUACCGUUUCUUGAAAACUCAGCCUGUAUACCUCCGUCGCAAGCUUACCAUGUGAACGCAUGUUCAGUGAGCUUAAAGAUUUAACAUCCACACGUCAGGUCAAGGUGCAGCCUACGAAACGGAAAGAAAUGGGCUACAAUCUCUACUCUAGAACAAACGGAAGACUGCAUGCAACACAGUCAUUAAGGCGGAUUUAGUAGUAAAAAGAAAAUAGAGAGUUCUUUUUAAUUAGGCGCUGGGACGCGUACACACCGCCCGUCACCCUCUUCAAAUAGCAUAUACUACGUCACUAACACCAUAUAGCCUUAAUAGAAGAGGCAAGUCGUAACACGGUAAGCGUACUGGAAAGUGCGCUUGGAAUAACAAAAUGUAGCUUAAUAAAAGUAUCCUGCUUACACCAAGAACAUGUCCGUGAAAUCCUGACCAUUUUGAGCUAAAAAUCCAGCCCUACUAACUCAAAUGAGAUAACUUAACUAAACAAAACAGACAAAACAGUUUUAAGAA
This 605-nucleotide ribosomal RNA is filed under the name Austrochaperina sp. 2 FK-2007. Its description in RNAcentral is "partial 12S ribosomal RNA". The stretch from base 1 to 471 matches the Rfam family "Bacterial small subunit ribosomal RNA", at positions 871 to 1533 of the family's 1533-position model. The record is from RNAcentral. Lineage: Eukaryota; Metazoa; Chordata; Amphibia; Anura; Microhylidae.